GCCCCCUCGGUACCUGCCGGGCGGGCGGUGCCGGCGGGGGCGGGAGGAGAGGCGUGAUGGGAGCCGGGAGAAAGAACGACGAGAAGAAAGGACGCUGCUGCCCGCGCAGGUUGCCCGGCCGGGUGUGGCUGUGCGCAGCCAUUGGGGAGGCGGGCGCGGCUGUCACCCCGCCGGCCAAGCUGCCCGCCGCAGGCUGGGGCGAACAGUAGGCACUUCGCGCUCUCCAGGGGCCAGCCGUGAGGAGAAAUCAUGUCUACAAUCAGCAGCCUUUGUCAGCCAGGUUUCUCUUCCCCCUGCUUCUCUCCAUGUGGCAGCGGUAACCAGCUGCGGUGAAGGUUGAAGACAUUUCAAAACCCAAAGACCCAAAGCAGUGCUGCUUAUACUCAGCUUUCAGCUGAACAAAAGUAAUGUUCUCGUUUCUCAUGUGCAAAGGUGGAAAACAGAUAUCAAAGUGAGCAGCACCUUGCUAGUUUUCUGUGGUUUUAGGUGAAGAGUGUGUCUCAUUCUCUGAUCAAUUAAUUGUGUGGGAGGUGCUAGGUGAAAGGGGGAAGGUCCCCCACUGUAAUUGCUAUACAUUGUACAGAAGAACUGAAGAAGUACAAGAGGAAACAAACCAGGGAAGAGAGGAGAAAAAGCUGGGAACACAAGUUUUUAUAUGAUGCUGUGGUGACUUCGUAUCUUCCUAAAGAUCAGGCAGGGAGAAGAUGGCGGCCCCUUCUGCUCUACUUACAGGCCCUUUUGUCUGUACUUAAGAGCUUGUAACUGUGUCUAAAAGUGUAAGGAAGGGAGAAUAUGGAAGAAAAUCCUGAUUUUACACCAUAAAAUAGUUUGAAAUGUGUGCAUAUACAGGACUCCUCAAUCUGCAGGCCUCUCAAAAGUGACUCUAGUCUUACUGUAAAGGAAGACCAGUAGGAACCAAGUGCUUCUAAAGCAUUUAUCAGCAAUCCUAGAUUCUUCAGUUUUACAUACUUUCUGUAAAGUACACACUUUCUGUGUAAGUCUGUAUGUAUUUUAGUGGGAAAUGCUUAAGCUAUAAAAUAUUGGCAGUGUUUCUUUCAUUGCAAAUGUAUGUAAAAAGGUAAAACACUUGAAAGCAUUUUACAAGACAGUAUUUUGUGGGUUUUUUUGUGGGUUUUAUUUUUCUGAGGUUUUUUUGUUUGUUUGUUUUAUUUCAUAAACUAAAUAAUUAUUGUCUAGCUGAAGCCAUUUUUGGGAAAUUUACAUGCCUUCCUUGCUUGUGGUGUAAAUAACAAAUAUAGUACACUGUCAAUGGGUAUAUGCUGGUAUUGUCCUUAUCUUCUAAUCACUUGUAUUCCUUGAUUAUUUUUUUCUCUCUAAAAACUUUGGAUGUUCCUGUGUAGAUCUUGCCAUACUGCCUGGGUGUUACAACUGAUGCAUUUUGCUUCAUACUGUUCUUUUGAGACCAGCUGGCUGGUAGUUAUUCUUAAGGGCCUUUUAACCUUCAGGCUUUAUUGUUAGGAUUUUGUUUGUUUUUUUAAUAAGGGGAGGCAGGAAAGGGAAGAAAAUAGGUCUAUUUUCAGUCCCUGUGUUUCAUUAAUUAUUCAAAAGCUGUUUCUGUUUUCAUAUCAUAGCUAAGCAGCGAGUCCUGAAGGGAAGGGGAAAUACCAAUAUCUGUCGAUACAUCCAUAGGAUUCACUGAAAAAUAGAUUUUUACCUUUAAUAUAUAUGUUUGCAGUAAUUACAGCAAAAAACUGCUAUUUCUGCAUAAAAUAUCCAAUUUGAAGCAAAGUUCUCUCAAAGAAAGCCACCGAAUAGGGUUACCUGUCUGUGUUUUGAAGAUGUAGGAGUGCUCGUGCUGACUUAGGGCAAUUGCUGUUUAUUGGAGGCUAUCCUCUGGAUUUUUCACUGUGCUACUUAGGGUCCAAAUUGUGUUACCUAUUGCUGAUGUCUAUGAGCUUCUUGGGAAGCUUCUCUUCUUUCAUAUUUUUUCAUUUCAGGAUACCAGUUCAUAGCACCAAGGUACUGAAAUCCAUUUGAAAUUGCAUAAUGUGUGUCAAUAUAAGUGUCUUGAUUUCAAAGAUCUGUAUUAUAAAUAUGUUAUUUAAUAAAUAGAUUUUAUUAUCCUUGUCA
This 2091-nucleotide long non-coding RNA is filed under the name Lonchura striata (white-rumped munia). Its description in RNAcentral is "domestica (Bengalese finch) lncRNA (ENSLSDG00000004196.1)". Lineage: Eukaryota; Metazoa; Chordata; Aves; Passeriformes; Estrildidae. The record is from RNAcentral.